CAAACAUGGCGGUGCCGGCGAGCUUUUUCGUGUUGUUGGCGGCGAUCGCUCGGCGGCUCGGCAGCACCGUGGGCGCCGUGAGCGCCCGACGACGCGUUCGACAUGCCAGUCGAUGAAAGAGUUCGCCGUCACUUUCGCCCGAAGAAAGGAAGGUGCGGCGGUUGUGCGACGAAGUGGCCGAGGAAGGCGCGCGACGGCGCGACCGACUUCGCUCUCGGUGCAGCCUGUGGGUGUUGUGCGGCCUUCGGUUUUUCGCGAGUGGCAGCUUUCAAGCCUUGUUUGGAAGCGAGGAUACAUGCAAGCUGCGGUGAGCAGACUGUGUGCGAUGUUGUGGCGGAGGCAAUCGCGCACGCCGGGAUCCGUAACAAGUGGGUUCACUUCCCGUGGACGCCGGAUGAAAAGGCGGCCUUGAAUGUUUCCUACUGCUGCCGGCGUCAUAGGAUGCGUGGACGGCAGCGACGCAGCGUUGCCGUCAUCAUUGCACCGAAGGGUGACCAUCACAAGGCGGCAUUUUAUCCCCGCAGGGGACAUUAUGCCCACAUCGUCAUGCUAAUCUGCGACGCAGACAUCGGAAUCCUGCCGUGAACCACUGAGUUUGGGAUCAGACUACGACGCCCACGUCUGGCGGACAACGCGGCUGCGUGAGCGCAUCGAAGGGGCCCGGAUUGCCGCGGCCGUACCUUCUGGCUUCUAGGUGACAGAGGCUACAAACCAGGACCAUGGCUCCUGACACCUCUCCGAGGCUGUCCUCUCAGAAGCGGUGUUAAAAAGGCAAGUGCUACACCGCACAUGCUGCAAUGCAGUCUGUAAUGAAGCGUUGUGCUGGGCGUUUGAAGAGCUGCUUCCGCUGCGUUCAGCAGUGCAGUUGUACCCUCCAUUAAGAAUCAGAAUGUGCAUCUCACAUUGCUGCAGCAUGUGCAGUGUUGCACUUGCCUUUACAUUGCAGAAGGUGACAGAAAUGUUCAUGAUUUCAGCGAGCGACGAUUCCAAUAGUGAGCAUGGCAGUGUUGUCAGGGAUGACCCCGAACCACUGCUUAGACAAGGAAGGCCAUCACGCUCCUCAUGUAUUCCUGGACAAGCUGUCCGCAGUGGUAAUCCGCUAUUUGGCUAACUGCACCACUGACAACAGCGCUAGGCAAGUGUCAUUUCAGUGAGAAACAUGUGCCUAAGAAGUAACAAUAAUAUAUGUGGUUUUCCGUGCCAAAACCAUGAUACAAGUGUGAGCCACACUGCAGUGGAGGACUGAAUUUAUCUUGACCACCUGUGGCUCUUUAACGUGAAUCUCAAUGCAAGUACAGCAGUGAUCCUUCACGUUACCCUCAUGGAGAUGUGUUCGCUGUCAGCAGGAACCGACCCAUGCGCUGAAUGAAGCUUAGCAGUGUGACUUCUUACCUGCUAAGAUCUUACCUAACAAGUAGGAGAAAACGUUUCGAUGUUAAAUUUCCUGGUAAUAAUAAAUCGCUGCUGGGUUUCAUCAUAUGCUGUAUGACCAGGUCUUUCGCAGAACUUGACUACACGUGACUGGGUCAUUUUUAUGUGGCCGUAGAUAGGAACUUUUCAUUUAGCAACUGUCAAUAUAACGCACUGUACUCAGCAGCUGAGUGCUAUAGCCAAUUCUCUGGAAAGCAAGGGUUUGUUAUUGUUUUUGUUACUGCUGACCGUCUUCUAAUCACGAACACUGUGACCGUUAUCUGUUCUAUGACUGGGAGUGCACACCAAGUCUUUGUCUCCUCACUUCGUGUAUAACAACACAGGGCUUGCCUUUUACUUCACGCACAACUUGCGGGCACUGUGCUCUUUUGUUGCACAUCCACCACACUGUUCCUUUUGAAAGGGCCAACUGAUGCUGAAACAGAUCGUCUGGCAUUUCAAGUACCUUUUUCUCAUUCAGAAGUGUGCUCAUCUGUGAAUGAAGAAGUAAUGUGAAAGAAUAUGUAAGCAGUCUCUUCAAGACAGAACCUUGUAAAAAAAAAGAAUUUAUUCGUGUUCACACCAAUGCAAAGACGGCACAUACAUUCUGUAAAUAAAUGUACAUUGUGAAACUG
Long non-coding RNA from Rhipicephalus sanguineus (brown dog tick), 2045 nucleotides. RefSeq lists it as uncharacterized. The transcript is spliced from 3 exons. The record is from RefSeq and is a predicted model, not a curated record. Lineage: Eukaryota; Metazoa; Arthropoda; Arachnida; Ixodida; Ixodidae.